GACCAGGGGGUUUGAAUCCACAAAUAGAAUAUGAUUCGAACAUAGAAAGAAUGGUAACAUGCCAAACAGGAGAUUCGCAGCAUCAUGUUCAAGAUUAAGCUUGAUGCCAAACUCUAUUUCUUGCUGUAAACACUAACCAGUCCCAGUCAAGAAAGCUGGGCUUACAUAGAGAUACCAACCUGCAUAUCUACGGUGGUUGCAUAUCAACAAAUGUCAACCUAGUAUCAAACAGUACUGGAUUGUACUGUUGUUUAUCAAAUAAUAUAUGUAAACAUAAUGAUAAAUAUAGAACAGCAUGAUUUUCUUUAAAAACCAACCUUUUAAUGUACAUGUUUUCUGUUAUUUGUUUUUCCUCGCGGAUGUGAUUUUGGUGCAAAAGAGUAAAACAAUAAGUUAGCAUUGGAAGAACAUUAGCAAAAAUUGCAGAAGAAGAAAACAUGGAGGCGACACAGACAGAGGUCAGAUAGCAAUCUGUAGUCACAUAUAAUAUAGCACAAGAAACCCUCUUUAUUGGAUAACAGUUUUUGAAAACAAAAGAAACAAAAAAUCAUUAAUGCAAAAUCAUUUCUGGGUUGCACCUUUCCAACCCUCUCUUCACACAGACAAGAGCAGUUUAUGACAUAAAAGAUUAAAAGAAAAAUUAGAAACUCAUCUCCAAGAACACAUGCACAAUUUUCAUGAUUUGAAUUGUGAAAGAAAAUUC
This 703-nucleotide long non-coding RNA is filed under the name Elaeis guineensis (African oil palm). Its description in RNAcentral is "long non-coding RNA (EGUI_LNC006302)". Lineage: Eukaryota; Viridiplantae; Streptophyta; Magnoliopsida; Arecales; Arecaceae. The record is from RNAcentral.